AUUAAGUUUUAAAAACUCCAUCUUGUGAAAAAUUAUAAACAUUAAGUAAUGUGAUUUCAAGUCAUACAAGUUUUCCUCUAGCAGGUUCCCAAGUUAUUUGUAAACAAAGGCUUUUCUGCUCCAGAACUUUCCUCAGUGCCUUGCAUUCUUCUCUCUCAACCGAACGUCCGGUGAACAGGAUGGUGGAUUAAAGCAAGUCACGGCAGAGAGGAAAUGCCUUGGUAAAGCACUGAA
RNAcentral lists this long non-coding RNA (234 nucleotides) under Pan troglodytes (chimpanzee). Its description in RNAcentral is "long non-coding RNA NONPTRT004494". Lineage: Eukaryota; Metazoa; Chordata; Mammalia; Primates; Hominidae. The record is from RNAcentral.